GAGCUUCGAAGAGGAGGCUCCGACGCCGCCCAACCCCUGAUCAGAACCCAGAGGGUGGGGAGGUAAGGGGGUGCCUCCCCCUGUGUCCCUCGACCCGAUCGCUCACCCCCCAGGGCCUCCGGGUGCGGCUCUGGAGCGCAGGGUGGCAGGUGCCGGGAAGUGCAGCGGCGGGUGGCCCGCCCCCUCCGGACACCCAUCCCUCGCCUCCCCGACGCCAGGAACACUUGCGCGGUCUCAGAGGACAAUUCAAGGAGUGGAAAAUUGUGCUGGCCCUCCAGCCCACAUGGGCUGACUCAUGCUCAGCUCUGGGCUGGGGGCCCUGUGAGCUCCCCACAGUCCCCCUGGGGCCAGAGGGGAGGCCAGGCCCUGGCAGGCGGAGCAGGAGAGGGUCCACGGGUCUUCCUCUGUCACCAAGGCUGAAGUGCAGUGGCAUGAUCACAACUCACUGUAGCCUCAGACUCCUGGGCUCAAGCAAUCCUUCCAUCUCAGCCUCCUGAGUUUCUAGGACCACAGGGGCGCCACCACUCCUGGCUAAUUUAAAAAACUUUUUUGUAGAGUUGGGGUCUAUGUUGUCCUAUGUUGUCCAGGCUGGUCUCAAACUCCUGGGCUCAAAUGAUCCUCUUGCCUCUGCCACCCAAAGUGCUGGGAUUAUAGGCGUGAGUCACUGCGCCCAGCCCCCGGGGCACUUUCUGACACAACCUGCUACACAUCUUGGACACCACUUGUCAAGCCUGGCCCUAGGCCUCUCAGGGGUGGGGACAUUAAGUGAGGAAGUCACACUGUCAGGGCAGAAAGAGGGGCUGGGUGGGGCCGGACAGGCUCUGCCGGCUCAGGAUCCCCGCAGGACAGGCUGCCCAACCCAGCCCCAAAACUCCCAUCUUCUGUCCAACGCCCAGGCCUGCUUCCUCCCUGCCCCACCUCACCUUGCACUGCCCAGACUGGUGGGGCUGCAUUUUUGGGGCCACUGUCAGGUGUGAUUGGGGACACCCCAGGUCAGGAGGUCAGGGCCCUGUUUCCUCCCAAGCCAGGAUGACUCAGUGAUGGACAGACUGGGCCACAAGGGGCAGAACACAAAGCCAAAUUAGGGUUUAGCUUGAAGCCAACCUGGGUUUGAACCCUGGCUCUGCCAUGCACCCAGCUGUGUGACUGUAGGCUGGUGGCUUCUCUGUAACAUGGGGAAGAGCCAGCGAGCUGAGGUGUCAAAUCUCAACUGAUAUAUUUCCUAGCUGUGUGACUCUGGGCAAAUGUCUUCACCUCUCUCAACCUCAGUUUCCCCAUCUGCAAAAUGGGGACACUCUGACACCUGCUCUGUAGGGUCUUGAAAAGUCUCAAUAAAGGAAGACAUGGAAUCAUGGC
Pongo pygmaeus (Bornean orangutan) is the source of this 1356-nucleotide long non-coding RNA. RefSeq lists it as uncharacterized. The record is from RefSeq and is a predicted model, not a curated record. Lineage: Eukaryota; Metazoa; Chordata; Mammalia; Primates; Hominidae. The transcript is spliced from 3 exons.